GCUGCGGUGGCCUAGCUGGUUAGGGCGCCAGACUCAUAGGGUUUUGAGCAAUCGAAGGCGCCAUCAUCUGGGAUAUCUGGAGGUCGGGGGUUCGGAUCCCCCUCGCAGCA
Molecule: transfer RNA, 110 nt
Filed under: Methanocalculus sp. MC2
Lineage: Archaea; Methanobacteriati; Methanobacteriota; Methanomicrobia; Methanomicrobiales; Methanocalculaceae
Also listed under: 1 other name
Description: tRNA-Undet
Rfam family: tRNA
About the family: Transfer RNA (tRNA) molecules are approximately 80 nucleotides in length. Their secondary structure includes four short double-helical elements and three loops (D, anti-codon, and T loops).
Source: RNAcentral